GGCAGACGGGUGAGUAACACGUGGGAACCAUCCCUGAAGUACGGAAUAACCAUUGGAAACGAUGGCUAAUACCGUAUACGCCCUACGGGGGAAAGAUUUAUCGCUUCAGGACGGGCCCGCGUCAGAUUAGCUAGUUGGUGGGGUAAAAGCCUACCAAGGCUACGAUCUGUAGCUGGUUUGAGAAGAUGACCAGCCACACUGGGACUGAGACACGGCCCAGACUCCUACGGGAGGCAGCAGUGGGGAAUCUUGGACAAUGGGCGAAAGCCUGAUCCAGCCAUGCCGCGUGAGUGAUGAAGGCCUUCGGGUUGUAAAGCUCUUUUAGUGGGGAAGAUAAUGACGGUACCCACAGAAAAAGCCCCGGCUAAUUUCGUGCCAGCAGCCGCGGUAAUACGAAAGGGGCAAGCGUUGCUCGGAAUCAUUGGGCGUAAAGCGCGCGCAGGUGGCUAUGCAAGUUAGAAGUGAAAGCCCGGGGCUCAACCUCGGAAUUGCUUCCAAAACUGCAUGGCUUGAGAAUG
This 518-nucleotide ribosomal RNA is filed under the name uncultured beta proteobacterium. RNAcentral's name for it is "bacterial SSU rRNA". It matches the Rfam family "Bacterial small subunit ribosomal RNA", at positions 97 to 650 of the family's 1533-position model. Lineage: Bacteria; Pseudomonadati; Pseudomonadota; Betaproteobacteria. The record is from RNAcentral.